RNAcentral lists this small RNA (32 nucleotides) under Plasmodium falciparum 3D7. Its description in RNAcentral is "Pfa-starR7067". Lineage: Eukaryota; Apicomplexa; Aconoidasida; Haemosporida; Plasmodiidae. The record is from RNAcentral.
CCUAAGGUAACUAAUAUAGAUCUUAACUACAG